RNAcentral lists this long non-coding RNA (38169 nucleotides) under Vitis vinifera (wine grape). RNAcentral describes it as "long non-coding RNA (VVIN_LNC000268)". The record is from RNAcentral. Lineage: Eukaryota; Viridiplantae; Streptophyta; Magnoliopsida; Vitales; Vitaceae.
CUUACUACAAAUUAAGUGUUAUUUACAUUAAUUUUCAUUAACAUCCUUGUGUUGCCACAUCCAUGAUUAACUGCGAUGUGUAUGAACGCAUUUUCAAGCGCUUCGAUGAAGAUGGUGAUGGGAAACUCUCUCCUUCGGAGCUCCGAUGCUGCUUGGGGACGAUAGGGGAGGAGCAGCCGAUGGAGGAGGCGCAGGAGGUGGUGGAGUCGAUGGACUCGGACGGAGAUGGGUUGCUGGGAUUGGAGGAAUUUGUGGGGUGGAUGGAGAGAGAGGGUGAAGAGAGAAAGAUGGAGGAUUUGAGAGAGGCCUUUAGGAUGUAUGAGAUGGAAGGGAGUGGGUGUAUUACUGCAAAGAGCUUGAAAAGGAUGCUGAGUAGAUUGGGGGAGUCAAGAAGUGUGGAAGAGUGCAGUGUUAUGAUCGGACAAUUUGAUGUAAAUGGGGAUGGGGUUCUGAGCUUUGAUGAGUUCAAGCGCAUGAUGCUUUAAUCUUGUUUAACAUCUUUUAUCUGAAUGUUGUAUUUUUUUUUUUAGAUUUAAGAAGAGUGGUUUGUAUUCAAAAAUUAAGAUUCUCCUCAUUGCUUUCCUCGUGCACAUGGUGAAGAAAAUACUCCCUAUUCUAUAUUUGAUUUUGCAUAAAAAUUCCUUUUACGGCAAAGAGCAAGUGUGAUAAAAUUUAAGUUGAUUUUUAAAUUAAAUUGUUAGUUCAAAUCAUUUUCUCUCUGUGUUUGUAAAAUACUCAUAUUAAAAAUAUUAUAAAAAUACAUAAUAUUAUUACAUAAAAUAAUAAUGAAAUAUAUAUCAUGGAAAAAAUGAAGUAUUAAAUUAUUUUAUAUUUUUAAAAAGUUAUUUAGUCUAAGUUAUUGUUUUGCAUUAUUUUAACUUUAAAUUAUAUAGAAUUAAUUUACCAAUAAGCCUAGACCCCAUUUGAAAUAGAGUUUAACUUUUGCCCUAAUAAUAAAUAAGUAGAAGUAUAAGUAUUAUUAGUGUAAUUGAAUUUUAUAUUUUGGAAUGAUAUCUAUCCCCGCAAAUUUAGGCAGUCUUGUAAAAUAAGUAAAACUAUUGAAAAAAUAUGAGAAUAAAAAUUUUGCAUUAAAAUAAUUAUCGGGGUGCACAAUCCAUAGGACGAUAAUGAAUUGGAGUUCAAGAUCAAUUAAGGACCUUUUUUUUUUUUUUUUAAGUGGGAAGUUGUUUUUCACAAUUUUAUCAUUGAAGGAAGUUAUCUGUAUUUGUAAGUGAAGUUAGAGAAUUAAAUUUGGAAUACCGAAGAUUUGAUUAUUUAAUUCAAGAAGUUUGGUUUCUUAAAGUUAACAACUUGUCUAAUUUAUUUAGGAAAUUAGUCAAUAAGAGAAUAUUUAUUUUCAAUUUUCUUUUGAUUUUGUCUUUUUUUAUUGAGGAAAUUUGUUAAUAAAAAAUAUAUAUUUUUAAUUCUCUCCUAAACUUUAAUGAUUUGAUUUAAUUUUAUUUUGUAAUACUUCUAAAUUUCAUGAGGUGUCACAUUUGAAUAGUCAUAGAAGUGCCUUCACAAAUGUAAAUAUAAUUACAUUUGAUCUCAUUGUAACCAUAUCGAGAAGUCGAUACACGACUCAUAUUGUAAACUCUCCCUAGAAGUUGACUACACACUUAUUUGGUAAAUUACAAUAGUAAAAGAAAAAGAACACAAAAUAUGCACCUAGCCCAAAGUUGGAUGAGAUUUACUUUUGUGAAUAUUAACAUUAACACUAUGUUUGGUUCAUAGAACAUUUGAGAGAAAGAAAAUAGGUAAGAAUCGAAAUAAAAAAAAAAGAAAAAGUUAAGAAAAAUAAAAAAUAAAGUUGAAGUCGAUAAAUUAUUUUUAUUUACUACUAUAAACUCAUUUUAUUUAUUUUAACUCAUCAGUAUAAGGAUUAAAUAAUUUAAAUUUUAAAAAUGUAUAAAUUUUUAAUUAAUUUUAAUUAUAUUUAAUUUUCUUGAAAAUUGUUUCUAGAACAAUCAAAUAUAAGAAAAUCAUUUUUUUAAAUAUUUUUUUUAAUACUUUUCGUGCACCAAAUAUAACUUAAAAGUAUUUUUAUUUUUUAUAUAAAAUAUCACUAUCCUAUUAUUAAACAAAUCAAGGGUCUGUUUAAAAAUAAAUUAUUUUCCAUGGGUAUAAAUAUCUCAAAAAGAUAAUAAAAAAGCCACAUUUAAUUUACUAAUAUAAAAAAGUCCACACCUGAUAAAUCUUUUCCACCUCAUGUCUAGGCAGAUAGAAGGGAGAAAGAGACCAAAAAGACAAACUAGCUUUCUGUGGCGGUUGAGUGUUUUGACCGUUGUAGAUGUAAUUCUAUCUCAAUUUAAUCCAGGCAGCUUCUCACUUUCUUCCCCCAAAAAAUCCAUCAAUUACGCACUCCCUGACACCGUGAUCCAUGCUUUCUUCUUCUCAUCUUCAACUUCAAAACUUCCAAGUUUCCAAUCCUUUUAUGCGUCUCAUAAAGCUAUAUAUAGACUCACAAAUUGUUAUUCACAACACUCCAAGCAUCCAAGUUCUUGCGGUAAGCAGCCAUGAUUAACUGCAGCAUAUAUGAACGCAUAUUCAAGCGCUUUGAUGAAGAUGGUGAUGGGAAACUCUCUCCUUCGGAGCUUCGAAGUUGCGUGGGGACGAUAGGGGAGGAGCUGCUGAUGGAGGAGGCGCAGGAGGUGGUGGAGUCGAUGGACUCAGACGGGGAUGGGUUGGUGGGUUUGGAGGAAUUUGUGGGGUGCAUGGAGAGAGAGGGCGAAAAGAGAAAGAUGGAGGAGUUGAGAGAGGCUUUUAGGAUGUAUGAGAUGGAAGGGAGUGGGUGUAUUACUCCAAAGAGCUUGAAGAGGAUGCUGAGUAGAUUGGGGGAGUCGAGAAGCGUGGAGGAGUGCAGUGUUAUGAUCAGGCAGUUUGAUGUUAAUGGCGAUGGGGUUAUGAGCUUUUAUGAGUUCAAGCUCAUGAUGCUUUAAUAUUGUUUGAUACCUUCCACAUGAAUUUUAUAUUCUUUUUAGAUUUAUAAAGAGUGAUUUGUAUUCAAGAUUCUUUCUACAUAAGGGUCUCCAACGGGCCGGGCCGGGCCGUCCGGCUCGGAGGAGUAAGACCCAUGGCCCAGCUCGAGGCGGGCCACUGAGUCAACGGGCCAGGCCGGGCCGGGCCCUUGGUAUAUCUAAGGCCCGUGGCCCAGCCUGUGGGCCCUCAAGCUGGGCGGGCCGACUGGGGAAAAAAUUAAAAUAGUUUUUAGUUUUGAAGGGAAGAGGUUCGAAAUCCCCUUCCCUUAUGGAUCCAUAAGGGAGCUAGCCACCAACUGAGCUAGUCCUCUUUUGUGUAACUAUUUUGCAUUAGUUAUAUAUAUAUAUAUUAGAAAUGUUGUAUGAUUUUUGAAAAAAUAUAAAAGUGAGUUGGCUGUUCAACGGUCACAUGACUCACAUGACCGUUGAACAUGUCUGCCACUCAAUUCAAUAUUAUGACCGUUGAACGAUCUUGAUUAAAAAAAAAAGAAAUAAUAAAUCCUAAUAUUUAAAUCUCUAUAAAUAUUAAAUACCCUCAAUUUUUUUCUAUUCUCUCAACUCUUAAGCUCUCUCCCAUUCCACAAUAUUUCCGAUUAUUGCAUUUUAUCUCAAAUUAUUCAAUAUUAUUGAUGGUGAAAAACAAGCAUUGGUGGUUCAAAAAGUUCAAAUUUGAAGGAAUUUCUGCUUCGGUUCUCUAAUUUAGUAACAUACUUCACCUUUACUUUUAUUUAUUUGUUACAUUUUAAUUUUACAUUUAUUAUUUUUAGCAUAAUAUUUUAUCAAUAAUUAUAAUUAUGGCAAGUGGUUCUUGUUCUUCAUCUAAUACAUGUGAUAGCAAAAAAUUUACAUCAAAUAUAUGGAAUUUUUUUGAUAGAAUAGAAAUAAAUUUAGAAAAUAAUAAAAAAGAAAUAAAAGCAAAAUGUAAAAUUUGUAACAAACUUCUUAGUGGUGGCUCAAAUGCAGGUACAAGUCAUUUAAAAAGGCAUCAUGAAAAUUGUAAAACUAAAAAUAAUGUAGAUAUUAGAAAUUAUAUGCAAUUAGGUAAAGAUGAAAGUGGAAAUUUAAAAACAUUUUCUUAUGAUGAAUCUUAUUGUUGUGAAGAAAUGAUUGGUUAUAUAAUAAGAGCAGAACAACCUUUCAAUUUCAUGGAAACUCAUGAUUUUACGGGAACAAUGCAACGAGCUGUUAAUCCUCAGUUUUAAGGUUGCUCUGGAAAUACAGUUAAAAGAAUUCUUAUAAAAAAUUUUGAAACACAAAAAGAAAAUUAAAAAUUUUUUUUUGCAAAUUUUGAAGAAAGAAUUUGUUUAACAUCUGAUAUUUGGACAUCUUUAACUCAUAGUGGUUUUUUUAUAUAUAACUGCUCAUUAUAUUGAUAAUGAAUGAAAAUUAAAUAAAAGAAUUAUUUCAUUUAAAAUAAUAAAUGCUCCAUAUAAUGGUAAAAAUAUAGCAUCUUUAAUAAAUGAUGAAAUUAUAGAUUUUGGCAUUCGUGAUAAAAUAUUUACAAUAACAUUAGAUAAUGCUUCUAAUAAUGAUGCAGCAGUAUCUAGAUUAAAACGAUAUUGGCAAAUAAAAGAAGAUCAAUGUAAAAUAUUUCAUGUGCGUUGUUGUGCACAUAUUUUAAAUUUCAUUGUAAAAGAUGGAUUAAAACACGUUGAUGAUACAUUAUAAAAAAUUAGAGGCAUUGCUGCGGGUCUUAAUAGUUCUCAAGCAAAACAUGAAUUAUUUUUUUAUUGUUGCAAAAUGUUAAAUAUGAAAAAAAGAAAUAUAAAUUUGGAUAUGCCCACUAGAUGGAAUUCCACUUAUAAACUUUUACAAACUAUUACAAAAUAUAGAAAAGUAGUAGAACUAUAUGAAAUACAAUUAAUUAACAAUGAUUGUGAAACAAAUAUUGAUGUAUUAAAUGAUUAUUAUUGGCAUAUUGCAGAUCUUUUAAGAGAUCUUUUUGAAGUAUUUGAUACUUCAACAAAAAAUUUUUGUGGUGUAUAUUAUCCAUCUUCAAACCGAGUUGUCAUGCAAAUAACUAAUAUUUUUAUUGUACUUCAAAAAUAUUUAAAUUUGGAUAUAUUUAAUGAUGCAAUAUUUGCAAUGAUAGAAAAAUUUAGAAAAUAUUGGGGAGAAAUACCUUUAAUUUUUUAUCUUGGUUUUGUGGACCCUAGAUUGAAAUUUGAAACUUUGGAUGAAUGGUUAACAAUUAUUUAUUUUAAUGACCAAAUAAAAAUUGAAGAAAUUAAAAAUGAAAUAAAUUCAUUAUUAUAUAAUUUAUAUAACUAUUAUAAAGAAAAAUAUGGUGAUGAUAUUAGUUCUAUUAAAUUACCACCUAUAUCUACAAGUUCUUCAUCUUUUUAUAAAGGAGCUCUAGAAAUGUUAAAAAGUUGAAAGAAGAUAACAAAUAGUUCUCCAAACAACACAACUGAUUUAGAUAGAUAUCUUAAUAUUGAUUUAAUUUCAUUUGAAGAUGAUGAAGAUUUUGAUAUUUUAAUAUGGUGGAAAUCACAACAACACAAAUAUCCUGUGCUUUCUAUCAUUGCUCGUGAUGUACUAACAGUUCUUGUGAGUACAGUUGCAUCAGAAGCUGCUUUUAGUGUAGGUGGAAGAGUAGUUAGUGAUAAACGAUGCAACUUAGCGCCGGAUUCUAUUGAAGCAAAUAUAUGUGUGAAAGACUGGACAAUAGUAGAUAAAAGGAUAUUUGAUUCUAUUCAAGAAGAAAAUAUGCUUGUCGAUAUGGAAAAACUAAAAUCAUCAAGAUCUUCAUGGAUUUGCGAUAGUUCGCCAACACCGCCAAGAGAUAAUGAUUAAAAUAUUUUACUAAAUGUAUGUCAUAUUUUUAUUUUUAUUUUUGUAGUUGAAAAGUACAAAUGAUUGACAAAUAAGUAGGUGCCAACCUAGUUGGGAUGUAUUUAUUUUGUAGUGAUGUAAACUUUUCCCACAUUUUCAAAUGUAACGUAUACAUUCAAUGAAUAAAAUAGUUAGCAAUGAAUAUUUUUAUUAAUGUAGUAUUUUCUAUUUCUUGAAUAUUUAUAUAUAUAUAUAUAUUUAAGUGGCGGGCCUACGGGCGGGCCAGCCCACCGGGCCUAAAUUGGAGCCCAUGGCUCGGUCCAUCCAAAAAUGGGCUCGAGCCGGGCCGGGCCUAGGCCAGGCCGCGGGCUUUUUAGAGACCCUUAUUUCCACAUAUACAGAGGAAUAUGAUUUUUUUUUCUUUCCACUCUAUAACAUUUAUAUAUAUAUAUAUAUAUAUAUAUAUGUUCUGUACAUGAUUGUUUGGGCCAAUUAAACUCUCAAGGGUGUGUGGAACCCUGCACUAGUCUUGUUAUAUACGGUAACUCAACUGACUUUAAAUGGAAGUUGGUGCUUUAACACAUAGCGUUAAUAUGUUUAGUAACUUAAAUUAAUUUAUUAAACAAUUCUAUAUCUUUUUAAUAUGCCAACCAAGGGAAUUAUAGCAUUUUUCUCAUUCAUGCUAAGGAAUUAGUGAAAGUAUGGAUUGUGAAGUUAACAUAUAACAACUCGCGCUUAACUGUAUAGAUAUUAUCCUCUCUAAGUCCUAAAGGGCCCUUACAGCUUUAAAAUGUAUCUACAUGAUUUAGAGAGAUCUAUACUUAUAUAGUAUCAUAAAUUUUCUCUCAUAUUCAAUAUGGGGUAUCAUAAACACCCUCUAUGCAAAUAUAACGUUCUCGUUGUAUUCCAUGAUAUUAUGGGGUAAAACAGAUAAACAAUCCUUAUAGGGCCAAAUAUACCCCCACACCAAGAUCGAUGAUUAGUUCUAAUAUCACUUAUAACGACAUGUAUCUAACCAUGUAGAUAUUUUUCGCUCUAGAAAUUGGAUAUGAGAGAAAGUUUAUGACGUUAUAUAUGUAGAGGUUCCUCUUAAUUCUAUAAACGCAUUUUAAAAUUGUGAAGACCCCUUUGGAUUCAGAGUUGAUAAUAUCUACACAGUUGGAUGAGGUUCGUUAUCUAACAUCUUAUUUUGUUAAUUAAUUUCCAACUAAUUGUCACUAUGUUCAAUGAAUCCCUUCAUCUAUAAAGAAAAGAAAAGGGGGUUGAGUUGGGAGCCUACAAUUUCUCUUAUUGUGGAUGUUUUCUGAAUGCAUUAUUGAGUAGUCAUAGAAGUGCCUUCUUAACUGUCAAUAAAAUUACAUUUGAUCUCAUUGUAACCAUAUCGAGAAGUCGAUACAUGACUCAUAUUGUAAACUCUCUCUAGAAGUUGACUACAAACUUAUUUGGUAAAUUACAAUAGUAAAAGAAAAAGAACACAAAAUAUGCACCUAGCCAAAGUUGGAUGAGAUUUACUUUUGUGAAUAUUAACAUUAAGGCUAUGUUUGGUUCGUAGAAAAUUUGAGAGAAAGAAAAUAGAUAAGAAAAUAAAUAAGAAAAAAAAAGUGAAGAAAAAUAAAAAAAAUAGAGUUGAAAUUGAUAAAUUAUAUUUAUUUACUACUUUAAAUUCAUUUUAUUUAUUUUAACUCAUCAUUAUAAAGAUUAAAAAAUUUAAAAUUUAAAAAUAUAUAAGUUCUUAAUUAAUUUUAAUUAUAUUUAAUUUUCUUGAAAAUUCUUUCUAGAACAAUCAAAUAUAAGAAAAUUAUUUUUCUUGAUAUUUUUUUCUUUUCUUAAUACUUUUCGUGCACCAAAUAUAACUUAAAAGUAUUUUUAUUUUUUAUAUAAAAUAUCACAUAUAAUUUUAUAAAAUCUAUCCUAUUAUUAAACAAAUCAAGGGUCUGUUUAAAAAUAAAUAAAUAAAUAAUUUUCCAUGGGUGUAAAUAUCUCAAAAAGAUAAUAAAAAAGCCACAUUUAAUUUACUAAUAUAAAAAAGUCCACACCUGAUAAAUCUUUUCCACCUCAUGUCUAGGCAGAUAGAAGGGAGAAAGAGACCAAAAAGACCAACUAGCUUUCUGUGGCGGUUGAGUGUUUUGACCGUUGUAGAUGUAAUUCUAUCUCAAUUUAAUCCAGGCAGCUUCUCACUUUCUUCCCCCAAAAAAUCCAUCAAUUACGUACGCACUCCCUGACACCGUGAUCAAUGCUUUCUUCUUCUCAUCUUCAACUUCAAAACUUCCAAGUUCCAAUCCUUUUACGCGUCUCAUAAAGCUAUAUAUGGACUCACAAAUUGUUAUUCACAACACUCCAAGAAUCCAAGUUCUUGCGGUAAGCAGCCAUGAUUAACUGCAGCAUAUAUGAACGCAUAUUCAAGCGCUUUGAUGAAGAUGGUGAUGGGAAACUCUCUCCUUCGGAGCUUCGACGUUGCGUGGGGACGAUAGGGGAGGAGCUACUGAUGGAGGAGGCGCAGGAGGUGGUGGAGUCGAUGGACUCAGACGGGGAUGGGUUGGUGGGGUUGGAGGAAUUUGUGGGGUGGAUGAAGAGAGAGGGCGAAGAGAGAAAGAUGGAGGAGUUGAGAGAGGCUUUUAGGAUGUAUGAGAUGGAAGGGAGUGGGUGUAUUACUCCAAAGAGCUUGAAGAGGAUGCUGAGUAGAUUGGGGGAGUCGAGAAGCGUGGAGGAGUGCAGUGUUAUGAUCAGGCAGUUUGAUGUUAAUGGCGAUGGGGUUCUGAGCUUUGAUGAGUUCAAGCUCAUGAUGUUUUGAUAUUGUAAUGAUUAUAUAUAUGAUUUUUAUUUCCUUUUCCGGUGAAUAACAUUUAUGCCUUAAUUAAAACACUUCAUCGUCUUAUCUAUUAUUAUUAUUGAAACUAAAUAAAAACCCUAUUAGUUACUAUCAAUGACAAAAUAAAAUUUAAAAUAUUAAAAAUACAAUUAAAACUAAAAAAAAUCAAUAAUAAAUAAUGCCAAAACAAAAUAUUGGUUUUCUACCAAAAAAUUAAAAAAAAAAAUAGUUUUCUAUUAAAAGUUUGUCACUUUAUCAAUGUCUAUAAUUUCUUAUAAAAAAAAUAUUUUGAUGGAUCCUAAAUAUUUUCAUAGUGAUCCUUUUCAAUCUAACUCUAGGUCAUUAGUAUAUAUGCAUUGCUUCCAUAAUAAUACCGAAUUUAUUUUUAUUUAAUUAAAUCUUUUUUUCUUAAAUGCGAGAUCAUUAUAACAAAAUCCUUUUAAAUUUAAUUACUCUAUUUGAAUAAAUCGAUUUUACUUAUUUGAAAGAAUGAAAAAUAUGAUAUUUGAUGUUUGAAAAUUCCAUCUUUGUACCUUUAAAAUCUAAUUUUAAAAAGGAUGGAACUUUAAUAUGCUUAAUAACAUAAAUUAAUUUAUCAAAUGCUUAUAAAAUUUUCUAAUAUUUUAAGUAUGAUAAACAAUUUAUUUUUCAAUCUUAUGUAAAAAAUAUUUGCUAAUGUAUUAAAAAUAAAUGUAAUUGGGAAAAAGCUUGUAAGUUGUGUCAUUCAUCCAUGCUGAGGAGUCAGUAGCAGUGUGAAGAAGUUGAUAGGUUGUCUGAAAAACCAGUUGAGUCUUUUGACGUUAGCUUGUUGUUCUACAGAAGAACACUAUUUUUUUUAUUUUUUUUUAUUUUAUUUUUUAUGUUUUAAUUUUGUAAACAUGUUUCUCGUUUGUCGCGUCAUAUCCACCUCAUGUCCGGGUGGAUUGAAAAAGCAAAAGGCUAGAAGAAAAGUAUUCUAUUCUUAGUAAAGUCAAUACGCACUCCGUGACGUCCCCUCCAGAACUUCCUAGUAAAGUUCGAUUCUUCACUCUCAAAAUCUCCAUACCCAACAGCUCUAUCUACUCCUUUUACGCGUCCCCACAACAGCUAUAUAUAUGCACACACAAGGUGUUCAUCCUCACAUCUUCACAUCUUACUACAAAUUAAGUUUUAUUCACAUUAAUUUUCAUUAACAUCCUUGUGUUGCGACAGCCAUGAUUAACUGCAAUGUGUAUGAACGCAUUUUCAAGCGCUUCGAUGAGGAUGGUGAUGGGAAACUCUCUCCUUCGGAGCUCCGACGCUGCUUGGGGACGAUAGGGGAGGAGUUGCUGAUGGAGGAGGCGCAGGAGGUGGUGGAGUCGAUGGACUCGGACGGAGAUGGGUUGCCGGGAUAGGAGGAAUUUGUGGGGUGGAUGGAGAGAGAGGGUGAAGACAGAAAGAUGAAGGAGUUGAGAGAGGCCUUUAGAAUGUAUGAGAUGGAAGGGAGUGGGUGUAUUACUGCAAAGAGCUUGAAGAGGAUGCUGAGUAGAUUGGGGGAGUCAAGAAGUGUGGAAGAGUGCAGUGUUACGAUCGGACAGUUUGAUGUAAAUGGGGAUGGGGUUCUGAGCUUUGAUGAGUUCAAGCUCAUGUUGCUUUAAUCUUGUUUGAUACCUUCCAUGUGAAUUUUGUAUUAUUUUUAGGUUUAUAAGAGUGAUUUGUAUUCAAGAUUCUUUCUACAUACAAGAGGAAUAUGAUUUUUUUCUUCUUUCGGUUUAUAACUCUAGACAUAAAAAUUUUAGUGGAUUAAAUUAUCACUAAUUUGGUCUUAAAAAAUUGAUAAAUAAAAAUAGAUAUCCUCUUAUGGAUAACUUUUCUAAAAAAGAAACUAAUCUCCAACUAUAAAAAGGAUAAUAAUAAAUAUAUUAUUAUUAUUAUUAUUAUUAUCAUGUUAGUACAUUAUUAGAAGUUGCUAAAAUCAAGAAACUAAAUCCAUUAAUUGGGGAAUUCAAAAUUCAAAUUCUCUAUCUUCACGUAUAAAUAGAAGUGAUUUCUUUCAAGAAAAAGAGGGAGAAAUUAAAAAAUAAAAAUCUAAAAAGGAAAAUCUUAAGGAGAAAAUCCAAAGACGAUUUUAGAAUCAUCAAAUCUCCUUGACUACUACAUGUGUUCUUCACCAUUAAACGAGUUCAUUUAGGAAUAAGCCACUUGUGGCCCUCAAUUGAUCUUCGAAAUAAAAAAAAAAGGCCAUCGUUGUUUUUCAAGUUGUGGACAAAGCGAAAGAAUCGGAGAGAAAAUAUUCUUUUGUGAAGAAUAUUAUAUUUGAGAUUGUACCCACAAUAUUUUUAAUUUCAAUAAAUAUUUUGUUUGCAUUAUUUUCCUAUUUGUUUUACUAAUUUUACAAAAUUUGAGCAUACAAUAACAUUUAUAUGUAUAUAUAUAUAUAUACUUUACAUGAUUGUUUGGGGCAAACCCUGAAGGGUGUUUAGACCUACACUAAUCUUGUUAUAUACAACGAUGAUGACAAGUUUUACUAAUCAGGGGACUAGGAUUCUAAGAAAGAAGAACUCAAUUGACUGUGAAUGGAAGUUGGUGCUUUAACGCAUAUCGUUAAUAUGCUUAAUAACAACUCUAAAGGUCUGUUGUUUAGGAAAAUAGCAACUCUAAAGGCCUCAUCCCAAUAUUUUAGAGGCAUAGAAGCUUUAGCUAAUAAAAUGAGACCAUUUUAUACUAUGUGACGAUGUUUUCUCUUCCCAACCCCAUUUUGUUCAUGAGUAUGAGGGCAAGAAUUUCUAUGAAUUAUACCAUGGGACAUUAAGAGAUCAGUAAAAGCUCUAUCUUGUCCUCCCCAAUUAGUUUGAAUAGCCUUUAUUUUAUAACCAAGCUAAAACUCAACUUGUGUUUCAAAAUUUGAGAAAGUUUGAAAAGCAUCUGACUUAUGCUUUAACAAAAAAAUCCAAGUGAAACAAGAGAAUGCAUCUAUAAAGUUGAUGUAAUAUCUAUAGCCACUAGAUGACAACAUUGGAGAGGUCCCCAUAAGUCAAAGUGAACCAAUUGUAAAGGUUUUGUGUAGGUUGUAUCUGACAAUCUAAAAGGAAACGUAUGAAUUUUACCAAAGCAACAAGCUAAACAAAAAGAAUGAGAAUUUGAAUCAAGAAGAGGUAUUUUGCAAUUUGUGAGUACAACUUUUAGAACUUUCUUAGAAGGGUGGCCUAAUCUAUCAUGCCACAAAUCAUACAAUGAACAGGAAUGAGAGAGAAUAGGUACAUGAAAGGCAAUGAUAGAUGGUGCUGGAAUUGGGACCUUUGAGGAAGACAAUGAAGGUUGCAAUAGCUGGUUAAGAUGAAUUUGAACAGAUGAUGCUAGAAUUGGGACCAUUGAGAAAGACAAUAGAGGCUGCAACUGCUGGUUGAGAUGAAUUUGAGUGUGGUCAAAGACAUAAAAUCCAUUUUUAAGAUUUCCCUCCAGUAGCACAGUUUUAGAAGUCUGAUCUUUCACAAAACAGGAAUGUGAGUGAAAUUCAAAGAAAACAUCAUUAUCAUGGGCGAACUUCGAAACACUAAGUAAAUUUUUUGUUAUAGUUGGGACAUGUAAGAGUUGCUUAAGAGAAAGAAUUUUAGAAGUAUAAGGAGAGGAAAAGAUAGAUUGACCAACAUGCUUAAUGGAUAAAUCCAUACCAUUUCCAAUAUGAACUUGAUCUGAUCCAUAAUAUUCGGCCUUAGUCAUCAAAUUUGUAGCAUCAAAAGUAACAUGAUUGGAAGCUCCUGAGUUAGGAUACCAAUUGGUAUCAUUAACAACUUUUGGUGUAGCAAACAUGGCUAUCAUUUGGCCUCCUGCACCUUGUAAUUGGCUUUGAAUGAAAGAUUGUUGAUUCUAGAAUUGAGAUGGUCCUAAGAAACUCUUAUCAAAAUGAUAAUAAUAGUUCAUCCCCACAUGCCCAAUCUUUCCACAAAGUUGACGUUGAGGUUUGUUUUGAGACCAAAAACCUCUCCCACCAAAUUGACCAUUAAAGUGGCCUCCACGACCUCUUCCUCGAUUGGCAAAACCAAAACCUCCUCUAGCAUUGUUCUGAAAAUUGCAUUUUUUACCAAAAAAAAAACUGACCACUAAAGGUGUUUGGAGCACCAAAGUUGGAAUUGGAAUUUUAUGCAAAACCAUUAAUAUACCUUUUUAUGCUUUGCUGAGAGUUUUGACCAGUAACAACAAUAUUUGCUAAGCUAGGUUAUGCAGAAUCUAACUCCUUAUUCUUUUUUUCUAUCCUAGCUUCUUGAGUCAACAACAAGGAUUCUAUAUCAUCAACUAUAUAAGGGUCUAUGCGUGACUCAAUUGAAAGAAUAAAGUUGUCAUAGUCUGGUGAUAAACCCUCAAAUAUGACAUUGAAUGGCCAACUAAUCCUAGAAAAUCAAUACAACCUCUAAUCUUUAACAAAUAUUCAUUCAUAGUCAGAAACUCUUUUCUGGUGUUUCUCAAUUGUGUUUUAAAUUGAAACACUUUUGCUCGAAUUUGAACAGCAAAAUAUCUUUCCAAAUUAAGUUCGCCAUACCUGAGCAGAGUUCUCACAGUUUACCAUAUGUGUAAGAAUCCCUUCAGACAUUGAAGAAAGAAGCCAAGACAACAACAAUUGAUCUUGUUGUUCCCAAUCAAGAAAUUCUGGAUUAACAUUGUCCAUUUCUUCAUCUCUUAGCGUAAGAAACUUCAAUGGUGGGGGUUUUGUUCCAAACACAAAAUUCUGUAAUUUGUGCCCUCGAAUUGCUACAAGAACCUGCUUUCGCCAAAGCAAGAAGUUGUUGUUAUCCAAUCGAACCGAAACAAAGUGACUAAAGGAAACAAGGAUGAACCUUGAAGCAGAUGAUGAGGCUCCACCCAUGGUGGAAAUUGAAAAGCUCUCUAUUGCUGGUAUUUCAAAGCUCGGAUACCAUAUUAGGAUUUAAGAAAACAAAGGAAAACAGUGGAUUUUGGAUUGAAGAAAAACAGAGGACUUAUUAUUCACACUGUGGAAACUAGUUACAAGAGCUUCUUUAAAUAGAAGCUUAUAAUAAAAGAAUAUUUAUUUCUAAUUCUCUCUUUAUUUCAAUUAUUUGGUUUGAUUUUAUUUUGUAAUGACCCUUUUAAAUUUCAUGUCAAGUCUUUAAUGUCUAGGGCUCAUUACUUGUCAAACUCAAAUUUUUUUAAGUUAAAAAAUCAUAAUUUUGAAGACUGAUUUAAUGAUAAUUUAAUCUAUCAAAAUUUUUAAUGUAUAUAAUAUCAUAGAAUAAGAAAUGCUUUUAUUAAGGCUAUCUUUGGCUCUAGUAAAUUUGAGAAGAAAAAUAAAGAUAAAAACUAGAAAGAAAGAAAAAGUAAAAAACAAAAAUGUUUUAAAAAAUUAAAGUCUAUAAAUUAUUUUUAUAUAUUAUUUUAAAUUAUCUUAUUUAUGUUAACUUUUUUACAAAAUUAUUAAAUAAUUUUAAAAUAUAUAAAAUUUUAAUUUAUUUUAAUUCUAAUUGAUUUUCUUUUGUAUUAAAGUACACAUGAAAAAGUCAAUAUCCAGAUAAUGAUGUAACUAUUAUAUUUAUUAAAAAUUUAACUAAAUAAAAAUUAACUAAGGUGUUAUGAAAAAAUAUAUAUUUACUAAUAUAUUUAAAAUAUGUAUAUAAUUGGGAAAGUUUAUAAGUUGCAUAUGUUAUUCAUCCAUGGAAGUGUGGAAGUGUGGAAGUGGGUAGAAAGUAGUGGAAGUGCGUAGAAGUUGAUAAGUUGACUGAGUUUUGAAGGAGUUCAGAAGUUAGCUUGUCAUUCUGCUGGUUUCCAACCCAAGGCCACUAUUUUUUUAAUUUUUUUAAUUUUUUUAAUUUUGUAACAUCAAGUCUAAGGUGAUGUUUGUUUUUUUACUUAAUUCUAAAUGGAACCUUAAUACUUAAUAGUAUUAAAUAUUAGGUUGUUUGUUUUUAUAGUAUUUUAUUUCUAUUAAGUAUUAAAAGGUAAAAAAAACCAUUGUGUUAUUUUUUCUAUUUAGAAAAAGUCACAUAUUUUAGCUUUUUCUAUUUAGUAAAAAGUUUAUAAUAAGUCAUGAAAAAGUAAAAAACCAAACAACCUAAAUUCUAAAACUAAAUGAUUUUCAGCAAAAAGUCAAAAAAACAAACACCACCUAAGUCUAACAUGUCACUCGUUUGUUACGUCAUUUCCACCUCAUGUCCAGGCGGAUUGAAAAAACAAAGGCCAGAAGAAAAGUAUGUAUUCACGAGGUGGGUUUGACCGUUCUACAGUAAAAAUUCCAGCACAAUGCCUAGCAAUUUCUCCGUGAUGUCCGGCUCCUCCAGAACUUUCUAGUGAAGUCUCGAUUCUUCACUCUCAAAACCGCCAUACCUAACAGCUCCAUCUACACCUUUUACGCAUCCCCACAACUGCUAUAUAUAUGCACACACAAAGUGUUCAUCCACAUAUCUUCACAUUUGACUACAAAUUAAGUUUUAUUCACAUUAAUUUUCAUUAAAUCCUUGUGUGUUGCGACAGCCAUGAUUGACUGCAGCAUAUAUGAACGCAUAUUCAAGCGCUUUGAUGAAGAUGGAGAUGGGAAACUCUCUCCUUCGGAGCUUCGACGCUGUGUGGAGACGAUAGGGGAGGAGCUGCUGAUCGAGGAGGCGCAAGAGUUGGUGGAGUCGAUGGACUCGGACGGGGAUGGGCUGUUGGGGAUGGAGGAGUUUGUGGGGUGGAUGGAAAGAGAGGGUGAAGAGAGAAAGAUGGAGGAGUUGAGAGAGGCCUUUAGGAUGUAUGAGAUGGAAGGGAGUGGGUGUAUUACUGCAAAGAGCUUGAAGAGGAUGCUGAGUAGAUUGGGGGAGUCAAGAAGUGUGGAAGAAUGCGGUGUUAUGAUCGGACAGUUUGAUGUAAACGGGGAUGGGGUUCUGAGCUUUGAUGAGUUCAAGCUCAUGAUGCUUUAAUAUUGUUUGAUAUCUUGUAUGUGAAUGUUGUAUUCUUUUUAGAAUUAAAGAGUGGAUUGUAUUCGAGAUUCUUUCCAGAUUAUAUCAUUACUUAAAAUAACAACAAAAUAUUUACCAUAAAAACAAUUAAAUAUGACAUUAUCUUAGAUUUUGAUAAAAUUGUUUAAUUUAACUUAUUGUUUUACAUUUUUUUUUUUUCUAACCAAAUCAUACACAAAAAAACAAAUAAAUAAAAAUAUUUUAACAUGGUUCAGUUAUCAAUAUAAUCCUUAUAUUUACGAUAUGUACCAAUACUUAAAAAACUACUUAUAAAAAGAAACGAGAAAUAGUAUAAAGAUAAAACUCUAAAAAAAAACCCUUCUUAAUUGCUAUUGUACUUUCUAAAAAACAUUAUCAACGAGCUCCACCUCCAACAUUUUGAGCAAAACAUAACAAAACUAAUUAAGAUUAACUUUAAAUUAUAAUAUUAAAUUAUUUUAUAAAAAAUGUGGAUCAUCUUAAGUAAAGGAUUCCUCUUUAAUCCUCUAAUUAAAACAAUUCAUCGUCUUAUCUAUUAUUAUUACUGAAACUAAAUAAAAACCCAAUUAGUUACUAUCAAUGACAAAAUAAAUUUUAAAAUAUUAAAAAUUACAAUUAAAACUAAAAAAAUUAAUAAUAAAUAAUGCCAAAACAAAAUAUUGGUUUUCUACCUCAAAAUUAAAAAAAAAAAAAAUAGUUUUACUUUAUCAAUACCUAUAAUUUUAUAUAAAAAAAAAUAUUUUAAUGAAUCCUAAUAAAUUAUUUUUCAUAGUAAUCCUUUUCAAUCUAGCUCUACGUUAGUAUAUAUGAAUUGCAUCCGAUAGUAAUGGUGAAUUUAUUUUUAUUUAAUUGAAUUUUUUUUAUUAAAUGUGAGAUCAUUUUAACAAAAUCCUUUUAAAUUUAAUUACUCCAUUUGAAUCAAUCGAUUUUACUUAUCUAAAAAAAUGAAAAAUAUGAUAUUUGAUGUUUGAAAAUAUCCAUAAAUCAGGUUGAAAGUUGCGAGGUUGAUGUUUGAAAAUUCUAUCUUUGUACUUUUAAAAACUAAUUUUAAAAAGGAUGGAACUUUAAUAUGCCUAAUAACAUAAAUUAAUUUGUCAAACACUUAUAAAAUUUUCUAAUAUUUUAAGUAUGAUAAACAAUUUAUUUUUCCAUCUUAUGUAAAAAAAAUAUUUGCUAAUGUAUUAAAAAUAAAUGUAAUUGGGAAAAAGCUUGUACGUCGUGUCAUUCAUCCACGCUGAGGAGUCAGUGGCAGUGUGAAGAAGUUAAUAGGUAGUCUGAAAGACCAGUUCUGAGUCUUUUGACGUUAGCUGCUUGUUCUACAGAAGACCACUAUUUUGUUUGUUUGUUUGUUUUUUUUUUUUUUUUUUUUUUUUUUUUAAUGUUUUAAUUUUGUAAACACCAAGUCUAAUCAUGUUUCUCGUUUGUCGCAUCAUGUCCACCUCAUGUCCGAGUGGAUUGAAAAAGCAAAAGGCUAGAAGAAAAGUAUUCGAUUCUUAGUAAAGUCAAUACGCACUCCGUGACGUCUCCUCCAGAACUUCCUAGUAAAGUCUCCAUUCUUCACUCUCAAAAUCUCCAUACCCAACAGCUCCAUCUACUCCUUUUACGCGUUCCCACAACAGCUAUAUAUAUGCACACACAAAGUGUUCAUCCUCACAUCUUCACAUCUUACUACAGAUUAAGUGUUAUUCACAUUAAUUUUCAUUAACAUUCUUGUGUUGCGACAGCCAUGAUUAACUGCAAUGUGUAUGAACGCAUUUUCAAGCGCUUCGAUGAAGAUGGUGAUGGGAAACUCUCUCCUUCGGAGCUCCGACGCUGCUUGGGGACGAUAGGGGAGGAGCUGCUGAUGGAGGAGGCGCAAGAGUUGGUGGAGUCGAUGGACUCGGACGGAGAUGGGUUGCUGGGAUUGGAGGAAUUUGUGGGGUGGAUGGAGAGAGAGGGUGAAGAGAGAAAGAUGGAGGAUUUGAGAGAGGCCUUUAGGAUGUAUGAGAUGGAAGGGAGUGGGUGUAUAACUGCAAAGAGCUUGAAGAGGAUGCUGAGUAGAUUGGGGGAGUCAAGAAGUGUGGAAGAGUGCAGUGUUAUGAUCGGACAGUUUGAUGUAAAUGGGGAUGGGGUUCUGAGCUUUGAUGAGUUCAAGCUCAUGAUGCUUUAAUCUUGUUUAACAUCUUUCAUCUGAAUGUUGUAUUUUUUUUUUAGAUUUAAGAAGAGUGGUUUGUAUUCAAAAAUUAAGAUACUCCUCAUUGCUUUCCUCGUGCACAUGGUGAAGAAAAUACUCCCUAUUCUAUAUUUGAUUUUGCAAAAAAAUUCCUUUUACGGCAAAGAGCAAGUGUGAUAAAAUUUAAGUUGAUUUUUAAAUUAAAUUGUUAAUUCAAAUCAUUUUCUCUCUCUGUUUGUAAAAUAUUCAUAUUAAAAAUAUUAUAAAAAUACAUAAUAUUAUUACAUAAAAUAAUAAUGAAAUAUAUAUCAUGGAAAAAAUGAAGUAUUAAAUUAUUUUAUAUUUUUAAAAAGUUAUUUAGUCUAAGUUAUUGUUUUGCAUUAUUUUAACUUUAAAUUAUAUAGAAUUAAUUUACCAAUAUGCCUAGACCCCAUUUGAAAUAGAGUUUAACUUUUGCCCUAAUAAUAAAUAAGUAGAAGUAUAAGUAUUAUUGGUGUAAUUGAAUUUUAUAUUUUGGAAUGAUAUCUAUCCCCGCAAAUUUUGGCAGUCUUAUAAAAAAAGUAAAACUGUUGAAAAAAUAUUAGAAUAAAAUUUUUGCAUUAAAAUAAUUAUCGGGGUGCACAAUCCAUAGGACGAUAAUGAAUUGGAGUUGAAGAUCAAUUAAGGACCUUAUUUUUUUUUUUUAAGUGGGAAGUUGUUUUUCAUAAUUUUAUCAUUGAAGUUAUCAGUAUUUGUAAGUGAAAUUAGAGAAUUAAAUUUGGAAUACUGAAGAUUUGAUUAUUUAAUUCAAGAAGUUUGGUUUCUUAAAGUUAACAACUUGUCUAAUUUAUUUAGGAAAUUAGUUAAUAAGAGAAUAUUUAUUUUCAAUUUUCUUUUGAUUUUGUCUUUUUUUAUUGAGGAAAUUUGUUAAUAAAAAAUAUAUAUUUUUAAUUCUCUCCUAAACUUUAAUGAUUUGAUUUAAUUUUAUUUUGUAAUACUUUUAAAUUUCAUGAGGUGUCACAUUUGAAUUAAGGAGUUACAAUUUUGAAGAAUAGUUUAGUGGUAAUUUCAUGCACCAAAUUUUUUAUAUCUAUAUUAUCAUCAAUGUUUUUAGAAUUGGAUCAGUCAUUAAACCGGAAAAGUUAUUGAUUCACAGUUUACUGGUUGGACCAACGAUCUAACCGCGGUCGAACCGGUACCGUCAUAAAUUUAUAUUUUAUUAUUUUAUAUAUUAUUAAAAUUUUAAAAAUUACAAAAAAAUAAUAUAUUUUAUCUAAAUUUUUACAAUAUCUAUCAAAAUUCUGAUCAACAAAUAAAAAUAACACAUUAAAUAAUAAAUAUAAAAGUAAUAAAACAAAAAAAUAAAUUUAAAAAAUAAAAAUCAAACAUUGGAGCAGCUACUGCACAGGCCGAGGAGGGGGGUGUGUGAUCUACAACGGGUGUCGCCAGGGUGGGGGAGAUUUAUAGCCGCUGGAGUGGGGGCUUACAAUAGGGGAAGGGGGAUUGGGGGGUUAUAGCAUGCCGAAGGAGGUUUAUAGCGGCAAGGGGUGGCUUACCGGCUUGCAACGGCACGAUGGGGAAAAGGUGACUCAAGCAACGGUCUUACGACCGAUGGAGGGAGAUUUUGCAUGGUGAAAUGACCGACAGUGGGAGCUUGUCGCGGUGGGUGAGGGGCGGGCGACAACUGCUAUGGUUUGGAGAGAGAGGGUUUGGAAGGAGGUUUUAUAUCUUCCAAAACAACGUUGUUUUGAUGCUAAAAAAAAAAAUUUAAUCGAACUGUCUAGUUUGAAGGGAAAUGGCCCGUUCGUUCGGUUCAUCAAUCGAAUCACCAAUUCAGUCGGUCCGAUCCUGGUUCAACCUAUUUCCGGUCUAAUUGAUCGGAUCGGACCAGAAUCAUGACCAACCGACGAUUGGACCUGCCUGUUUAGUCCGGUUUUUAAAACCAUGAUUAUCAUAAAAUAAGAAAUAUUUUUAUUAAGGUAAUAUUUAAUUCUCGAAAAAUUUGAGGGAAAUAAAAUAGAUAGAAAAAUUAGAAGAAAAAAAUAGAUAAUAAAUUUAAAAUCAAUAAAUUAUUUUUAUAUAUUACUUUAAACUUAUUUUACUUAUUUAACUAUUUUAUAUAAGGAUUAAAUAAUUUUAAAAUAAUAAAUUUUUAAUUAAAUUUAAUUAUAUUUGAUUUUUUUUUAUAGUAGAAUCAAAUAUAAGAAAAUUAUUUUUUGAUAUUUUUUAUUUUUGUAGUAUGAACGCACACUUGGAUAAGAUUGAAAGUUGUGGGCCACAUUUAAAAAUUCUUUUCAAACAAUACUAAUUUUGAUGGAAAACUCUUUUAAGAGGAUUUUAACAUGUUUAAUAAUUUAAAUUAAGUAAUUAAAUCAUAUUAAAUUAUUAAAUAAUUAAUUUAUCAAAUAUUUCUAAAUCUUUUAAUCAAAAUGAAAAAAAUAUUUGUUAUAUAUAUAUAUAUAUAUAUAUAUAUAUGUUCAUCCACGGUGACGAGUUAUUGGAAUAGUGUAGAAGUAGAUAGGUUGUUUGAACUUUGAAGUAGUUCAGAAGUUUGCUUGUCGGAAGACCACUAUUUUAAAAAAAAAAAACAAAUUAUUAUUAUUAUUAUUAUUUUAUUUUUAAUUUUGUAACAUGAAGUCUAUCGUGUUACUCGUCUGUCGCAUCAUUUCCACAUCAUGUCCAAGUGGAUUGAAAAAGCAAACAAGCCAGAAGAAAAGUAUUCAUUUACGAGGAGGGUUUGACCCUCGUACAGUGGAAUUCCAGCACAAAGCCUAGCAAUUUCUCACUUUCUGCCUCCGAAACCUGCCAAUACGCACUCCGUGACGUCUCCAACACUCGCUUCGCUUCAUUCUCCGGAACUUCCUAGUAAAGUAUCAAUUCUUCACUCCCAAAAUCUCUAUACCCAACAGCUCCAUCUACUCCUUUUACGCGUCCUCACAACAGCUAUAUAUAUGCACACACAAAGUGUUCAUCCUCACAUCUUCACAUCUUACCACAUAUUAAGUGUUAUUCACAUCAAUUUUCAUUAAUAUCCUUGUGUUGCGACAGCCAUGAUCAACUGCAAUGUGUAUGAACACAUUUUCAAGCGCUUCGAUGAAGAUGGUGAUGGGAAACUCUCUCCUUCGGAGCUCCGACGCUGCUUGGGGACGAUAGGGGAGGAACUGAUGAUGGAGGAGGCGCAGGAGGUGGUGGAGUCGAUGGACUCGGACGGAGAUGGGUUGCUGGGAUUGGAGGAAUUUGUGGGGUGGAUGGAGAGAGAGGGUGAAGAGAGAAAGAUGGAGGAUUUGAGAGAGGCCUUUAGGAUGUAUGAGAUGGAAGGGAGUGGGUAUAUUACUCCAAAGAGCUUGAAGAGGAUGCUGAGUAGAUUGGGAGAGUCAAGAAGUGUGGAAGAGUGCAGUGUUAUGAUCGCACAGUUUGAUGUAAAUGGGGAUGGGGUUCUGAGCUUUGAUGAGUUCAAGCUCAUGUUGCUUUAAUCUUGUUUGAUACCUUCCAUGUGAAAUUUGUAUCCUUUUUAGGUUUAUAAAGAGUGAUUUGUACUAAAGAUUCUUUCUACAUGUAAGAGGAAUAUGAUUUUUUUCUUCUUUUCGGCCUAUGAUAUAAAAAUUUUAGUAAAUUAAAUUACCACAAAUUUAGUCUUCAAAAAUUGAUAAAUAAAUGGAUAAGCAAAAACAAAAUAGAUAUUCUCCUAUGGACAAGUUUCAUAAAAAAUAAUAAUAAUAAUAAUAAUCACCAACUAUAAAAGGAUAAUAAUAAGAAUAAUAAUAAAUAUAUUAUUAUUAUUAUCUUUUUGGUAAAACCUUUCAAAGAGGAGAAGUUGCUAAAAUUAAGAAAUUAAAUCAUUUGAAUUAAAAAAUUAAAAUAGGAGAAUUCAAAAUUCAAAUUCCCUAUCUUCAUGUAUAAAUAGUGGUGACUUAUUUCAAGAAAAAGAGGGAAAAAUUCAAAAAUAAAGAAAAAUUAAAAAGAAAAUUUUAGGGAGAAAAUCUAAAAGCAACUUUGUACAAGAAAAGAGGAUUUACAUAAAAAAAAAGAGUUUUGUCAAAUCUUCCUACAAGUUUGAUAAAUGACAAAAGAAUUGCUACAUAGGUUUUUCCUCAUUCAACAAAUUCAUUCGAGAAUAAGUCAUUUGUGACCUUCGAUUGAUCUUCAAAAUUAAGAAAACGUCAUCGUCAUUCUUCAAGUUAUGGUUAAAGCGAAAAAAUCGAAGGAAAAUAUUAUUUUGUAAAGAAUAUUAUAUUUGAGAUUGUACCCACAAUAUUUUUAAUUUCAACAAAUAUUUUGUUUGUAUUAUUUUUCCAUUUGUUUUACUAAUUUUGCAUGACAUUUUAUACCUACAAUAACAUUUAUAUAUAUAUAUAUAUAUAUAUGUUCUGUACAUGAUUGUUUGGGACAAACCUUGAAGGAUGUUUGGACCUGCAAUAAUUUUGUUAUAUACUACGAUGAUGACAAGUUUUAUUGAUUAAGGGACUAGGAUUCUAAGAAAGAACUCAACUAACUCUGAAUGGAAGUUGAUGCUUUAACGUCUUAAUAACUUAAAUUAAGUGAUUAAAUCAUAUAUUAAAUUAAUUUAUUAAACAAUUCUAUAUUUGUCUAAUAUGCCAACCAAGGGAAUUAAAGCAUCUUUCUCAUUGAUGCUAAGGAGUUAAUGAAAGCGUGUAGAAGUAGUUAUGGAGUUAGCAUGUUAUUUUGUUCAUUAGUUUUCAACUGAGACCUAUGACUCAAUGAAUCGCUUCAUCUAUAAAGAAAAGAAAAGACAAGGCGGCUGAGUUGAGCGCCUACAAUUUCUCUUCCUGUGGGUGUUUUCUGAAUGUAUUAUUGAAUACAUUUGAUCUCAUUGCACACGUAGCAGUGACUUAACGACCUCAUGUCCACGUGGAUUGAGAAAGUAAAAGUCAAACGCUGUACAUUUACGGGGGUUUUGACCGUUACAGACUGAAAUUCCACCAAACCUUUCAAACACGCACUCCCUGACUUUCCCAACACUCGCGUUUCCUAGUCCAAGUCUUCAUUCUUCACUCUAAAAAAUGACCAUAUCCAACAGCUCUAGUCAUUUUACGCGUCCCCACAAAAGCUAUGUACGUAUUAUAUGCUCACUCACAAAGAGUGGAUCUUCACAUCUUCACUUCCUAUUGCAAAGAGUUAUCCACAUUAAUUUGCACUAACGUUCUUGUGUUGCGCAAGCCAUGGUUAACUGCAGUGUCUUUGGAUGCAUUUUCAAGAAGAUGGUGAUGGAAAACUCUCUCAUUUGGAGGUAUGGCGCUGCGUGGGGACGAUAGGGGGAGGAGCUGCUGCUAAUGUAGGAGGCGUGAUGAAAAACGUUCUUGUGUUUCUUUGGAAUAUUGCAAUGGUUUUUUGGGGGGGUUUUAGGCUGAUAAUGCUCUUUUUAGAGGCUUGAAAAUUUCUGCUGCUUAGUUGUUAAUUUGAAGACACAUCUGUUGUUUAGUGUUCAUGUGCAAAUCUGUCUUACCUUUAUUUUGUUUAGUAUAAAGUUAAAAAUCUUUGAGACGGAUAGUUUCUGUUGAGGAGAAAGAAGAGCGGUUGGAGUUGAUGAUGAGCUCAGAUGAUUUCUAAUUCCUCUUUCAAAAAAAUUUUCUGCUCAGUGACCAUUUUUUAUUUACUGAUCUUCUAUUUUUGUUUUAAUGGAUUUAAAAAACGCCAGAGAUCUCCUCAAGGCUGUUGAUCAGUAUCUCUUGGAGUGUUUUGAGCAUCAGACCUGGUAUUCAAAUAGGAGAAAUGGAGUCUAAACCGGAGGCUCUUGUGAUUCCUCUUCAGAUGUGGAAUUACGAGUUAUGAGUGUGGCAAAUGAGAAUACAUGACUUGCUUGGUGAAGAAGAUAAUGAUAUAGUUGCCGUAAGUAGUCCCAUGCCAUUUUUGCUGCAAGGAUGACCCAUAAACCAAGUGCCGGCCAUCCUAAUUCUGGAACUAAAAUGAAGAAAGUAAGAUUGGGGCAAUUGUGGCAGAGAGGAGUCGAAUGGGCCCGAGCUUUUUACCAACAAUAAUUGUUCCAACAUAAAUGGAAAUAACAAUAACAAAAAAAUAUAUAAUCCCUUUAUGUUCCUCAAAUAGGGAAAUGCUGACGCCUUGAUAUUUCACUGCAAGGAGGACACCUAAUAUUGAAAGGUAGCCGAAAAAAACUUAGAUCUCAAGGGGUUUACUUGAUCCUUGAUCUUACUCUAUGAAGGAAUUUAAUCCUUGCUCUUGCUCCUGUCAAGAAAAUAAAAUUACUUUUGAGUGUCUAAUCAACAAGUAAUUAAUGAAAUUCAAUAAUAAAAUAAAAAAAAUACACAAAAGCCUUCUCAAUAACGAGGGCAUACCGUUGUCGUCUGUCCAUGAAGUGUAGAUGCAGUUGCAGCUCUCAGCUCUUAAGAGCACCUUUCCAAUGGCUGGCAGUAGCUCUUAGCAUUUGUGGGGAUAUAUAGUUUACUAGGCUACUAUGAUGUGAGUCAACCUACGCAAUUUGAGAAGUAGGGCUGAUGUGACAAGCGCUGCAUAGCAACUUCGCUUUGCUUUGACCCAAAAUGCUGUAUUUAAAAAAAAAAAUGCAUAAACUAAACCGAAUAUGAAAAUAAUGCCCAAUCUAGUGCGUCUGGGCCACGUGGAACGCCACAUCAUAAAACCGUAGUUGGUAACUACGGUUUUGAAUUUUUUUAAAUUGGUCAAAACCGUAGUUGGUAACUACGGUUUUGAAUUCCUUUUCUGUCCCUUUCCCAUUAGGUUUCUCCAUUUCCCCGAUUGGCUUUCUUCUCUUUAGGGCUUUGUUCUUCCCUUUAGGGUUUCGUUCUUCCCUUUAGGGUUUCAUCCUUCCCAUUGCAUCCAUAGUUCAAAUUCAAAUUUUGGAAGUCGUUGUCAGGUAAGAUUUAUGAAUUUUUUAGUUAAUCGUAAAUUUUAAUGUUUUUUUUUUUUUGUAAAUCUGUUUGGUUUGUUGUUGUAGAUUUGUUUGGUUUCUGUUUGGUAAAGACAUGUUUGAUUUUAUUUUGAAUUUGAGCUUAGCAGAAAGAAAAUGGUUUUUUUGGUAAACAAAACGGAUAUGGAAUGGGGGACCAGUAUGGAUUUCUUUUUGUUAAAGAUGCCAAAAAUGGAGGGGACCACUGUAAAAAAACUCCGGUGAUUUUUGUUAUAGAAAUAGAAAAUAUCUUCAAAUAUUUGUUACCAAGAGUGAGGGGACCACUCAGAUGGUAUAUCUUCAAAUAUUUGAGCAAGAAUCUUAAACCCAUUCUCAAAAUUUACGCAAAUGUUUUUUCCUAGAACCUUGAGAUUUGUUUUUAUAGUUCUUUAGUUUGGUGAUACUUGAUUUUUUUUCCAUUCAGCUUCCUGUGAGAUUCUGAUUGAACAUAAUUUAAGGAUUUUUUAUUGUUAAAUCUAUUCUCUUCUUUGCAUCUACAGAAAUUCUCAUUCCUUUGAUUGUAAUUUUAUUGAACUAAUGAAAAGUUCAAAACUAGAACAUUCAAUCCUUCAUCAGUUGGUAUAUAUGAGAUUUUUAAUUAUUUUAUUUGUAUUUUCUCUCAUUCUCCCACUCAAUAAGAAAUUAUUAGAACUUGUCUAGUACUGUUUUUUAAAAUUGUUAUAAAAAACAAUUUUUGAGGAUAAUUUUUUAAACUAUCUGUCAAUUAUUUUCAAAAUUUUACUUGAAACCCUUAAUGUAAAAAAUAAUUUUUAAAUUUAUUAUCUGUGUUUCUGGAUUUUUAGCCAAUAUUCGGACUUACAUCAUAUAUAUUUGCAUGGGAAACAGAUGAAUUGAAUGAAGGGCAGGGCUCAUGAUCAACUUCCUUUUUAGUUAUUCUUUCAGCUUCUUCUUCUUCUCCUGCUGCUGUUUUGGUUUACCUCAAGAAUCUCUUUGCCCUUCUCUUCCAAAUUAAACCUUAAUCAAAAGCUUUAGUACAAGCAUAUUCUUCUUCUUCUUCUUCUUCUUCUUCUUCUUCUUCUUCUGAGGUUGCUCUCCUGUAUUUGUGGAUAGGUAAGCUUCAAAGCUUGGUUUUUCUCCCUUCUUAUGGGUUGAAUCUUACGUUUCUCACUGUCAAAAACAUUCCAUGGAAAUUUGAAUACAUACCACUGUAAAACUCAUGAAAAAACUAGACCCAUUGUUUUUUUUUUUUUUUUUUUUGUGAACAAGGUUGUUUAGAUUGAGCACUAUGUUAAUAGAUCUUACUGUGUGAUCCUUUUUUAUUGAUCUCCCUGAUCUUUGCCCUAUUCAUCUUGUGCUUAUGGAUCCUUUAGGGGGCCUAUUUUCUAAAAAAGUUUUUGUUUUUAGAACAAACAAUAGUUUUUCAAUGUUUGGUAAGUUGUAGACUGGAAAUAGCUUUUGAAAAUUUAUCCUAAACAUAGAGUGGUUUGUUUGAAUAAGUUUAAGGAUUUUCACAUAUUUUUUUUGUAGAGUGUUUUGAAAAUUAAUCUAAAAAUAAUGAGAAUAAGUUGGAAAAUUUUGUAUUAUUUCAUAAGUGUACAGUAUCUCGAGCAAAAAAAAAAAAAAAAACUUCUAUAUUUGGGUUCUCAAAAAGAAGUUUAUUCCUACCAAUUAAAGAUUGUCAAACAGAACCUAGCUAGCUAGUUUUUGAGAAAUACAAAAAUGGUGAAUGAGGUGCAAUGCAUAAAAGUUACAAGUAAAAUAGACAAAAACGCUGACCAUGGAUUGUUUGGUAUGGAAAGUGUCAAGGGACAUGUUUUUCUCUUUUGCUUUCAUUUUCCAUGCAGAAAAGUAAUUAAUGUGAAAAAGAGAAAAAGUACACUUGGAGUAGAAGGCCUCUAGUAUAAGUUUGUAACAGUUCAACUUUUGUUAAUUUCCUUCCACUUAUGAUUUGCCUAAUAGUUCUCUUCUUGAUAUGUAUGGAAGUUGCCAAGUUUGAAGAAGAAAAAAUGAGAGCCCUUCAUUUACAUAAUUUUUUUUUUUGCCUUGUAUUUAGAGAGGAAAGUGUGUACACGAAAACAAAGUAAUGGUUGCUAUUAUUAAAGUGGGUUCAAGGCCUUUAUCCUAGCCAUCAGAAUCUGAUCUUGACCUUUUUGUUGCCACUCUAGAUGGUUGUUACUUCAUAUGGUAGACAACAUAAAUAAUUUAAAUUUUGGGAAAACCAUAUUGGGAUUCAUACCCCCUUGUUCUUAUACAUGGCAAAAGAGUUCAUGACCAGUGGGACUAAUGUGAUUUUUGGUUUUACAAUUGUUAAUAAAUAUAUAUACACACAGACAAAUUUUUAUUUUUCUCAUUUUAAUAAAAAAAAUAAAGGAAUUUUGGAGACAAAUAUAUUUUUAAUACAUUUUUAUCAUACAUAAGAUAUUAAAAUAAACAUCUAAUAAAUAAUUUAAUUUUAAUUAUCUUAUUUCCAAAUUUGAUUUAAGUAUUAAAAAUAUAAAAAUGAUUAUUAUAAAUUUUUUAAUGAGUCUUUGUUCAUAUUUUUUUUUAUUAAUUAAACUUAAUAGAAAAAAAAAUUACAAAUAUUUUAAAAAUCAUACAUAUAUCAUCAUUUCUUUUGUAUCUUUUAGAUAUAUCAAUGUAAAAUGUGUUUUCAAGUUCUAUAUAUUAUUAAUUUAUUAUCAAAUAUUAGAAAUAAUAUAUAUAUAUAUAUAUAUAUAAUAUAAAAGUAAUAACUUGAAUAUGCGUAUUAUUUCUUGUUUUUUCUUUUUUUUUUCCCUCAAAAUUUCUUCCUUCGAUUUAUUUGUCAAAAUUUCCACUGAUAUUUCCCGAUAUAUCCUAGUAUAUUCGUAAAAUCCAACUGCCAAUAUAUCCAUGAAAACUGAUGUCUCAUCCUUGGUUCUACUAUCUUUUUGAGGUCAUGCUUCCCAUAUCCCAUGUUGUCCCCUGUUUUAGAUCUGCAAUUUGGUAAUUCAUAUGAAAUUGUUGAUUUAUCCUAGGUUAUUGAUUCAUCUUCACACACAAUUUCUCAUCUAGACAGCUCCUGAUCAAUGAAACUAGUCAAAAGAAGGAACCUAGCUUUCCAAAAACAGAAUAAACACAUAUCAAAUUUUUAUAAUUGUGUAAUUGAUAUUUUAUUAAUAUAUAUUUUUUUGGUCAGUUACUUUUAUUUGAUUUUGAUUUUGAUUUUUUUUUUUCGACUUUUAGCUUUAAUCAAAUAUCAAUUGAUUCAUGAAUAAUAACAUAAUUCUUUAAAUUAUAUAUUAUUUAAUAGUUCAUAACAUUCAAUUUUAUUUUAAUAUAUGAUAUUUUAUAAUAAAAAAAUUUUGGUGGAUUAUUUUUUAUUUAAUUUUAAGGUUAUUGUAAUUUUUUAACUCAACAUUUAUUGAUUUAUAGCCCACUACCUAAGUUUUAAAUUAAAAUUCUAUAAAACAUUUAUCUAUGAUUAUAUUUGUAUCAUAGAUAACUAUUUAAAUAAAAAAAUUAUUAUUAUGAAGUGAUUUAUAUUUUUCCUCCUAAUGUCUAAAAAUGUGUUUUAUUAUAUAAUUGUGUAUUCACAUGUUAAAAUAUUAUAUGCAAUUUCUCUUGCUAUUAUUUUCAUUGAUUAUUAAACCAUUUGAUAUUGUAUUUUUUGUAGGUAAAUCAUGUCUGAAUCUAUUAUUCCUGUGAUUUGCUUUUGUAAAGGAAAAAUGUUGAGGACAGAAACAGAUGUAAAGUAUAUUGGGGAUCUAGCUGUAAUUGUGCCUUUGUAUGUGCCUGUUGGUUCAACCUAUGAACAGUUGUUAUCUAUGAUAUACUCGAGAACUGGCAUUGACAAAAAACAAUUUCAAUUAGUCCUCAACUGUAGAUAUCCUUUGAAAAGGGAAAAUAGGUUUCAACCUUGUCCAAUAUGGGAUGAUAAUAGUUUAUCUCAAAUGUUGAAAUUGGUUAACACAUUUGGAAUGGACGAAAUUGAAUUGUAUAUUGAACAAGUGCCAGUACAACCACGGGAGAGGGGGCAAUUUUUGGGUAACUUCACACAAUUAUUACUCGGACAAAAUGAUAAUGUUGAGGAAUUUGAGUAUGGUUGUGGACCUAGUAGUGCCCCAGUUGCAAUGACUUAUGAGUGUAGAGCAGAUGAAAAUGAAGAAGAAUGUGAAUCCCAAGAAGGUGAUGAUCAAAGUGAGAGAGCAGAAGAUGUUCAACAUGAUGGCGAUGGGGUGUUCGAAUUUAUUGAUGAGGAAAACAAUAAUGUUAAUGUUGUUUCAUCUUUCUUAGCUCUUCACGAAGCAAUGGAAAGUGAACAAGGGAGAUAUGUCUCCGGUAGAGUAUUCCCCUGUUCAGUAUCACUCGGCACCAUCAUUGCAGUUUGAAAAUGUAGAAAACAUUGGUAACGCCGUUUCAAGUGACUGGACCCCAUGGGGGAACACUAAUAUUGGAAACUCAGGUGGAGAGUUCAUGGUUGGCCAAGUUUUUAAUUCAAAAGCAGAUUUACAACAUGCUGCGAAGUUGUACUCUUUAAGUCAACACCAAGAGUACGUUGUUGUUUCGUCAACUACAAAGUUGUUGGUUCUAAGAUGCAAGAAGGCUGAGCAAUCACAAUGUCCAUGGAAACUUCGUGCUAUGGUUGUAAAAGGUACAACUUCAUUUGCAAUCAAUAAAUACAAUGGUCCUCACAAAUGUGUAAAUCCUUGCUUGAAUCGGGAUCAUCAACAAUUAGAUUCCAACUUGAUUGCUGCUCAUAUCCAAGGAAUGAUUAAGGCACAAUUCACAUUGUCAGUGGCUGCUAUUCAAGCAAGUAUUGUGGAGAAAUUCGGAUACCAAAUAUCAUACAAGAAGGCAUCUAAAGCGAAGCUUAAAGCUCUUACAAACUUAUUUGGUGAUUUUUAUAAGUCAUAUGCAGAGCUGCCACAUUUUUUCAUUGCCUUAGAGCAGGCAAAUCCAGGAUGUGUUGUAGUUUCAAAAACAUUUCCUGGUAUUAUGGAGAAUACAGAAAUAUUUCAACGAGUUUUUUGGACAUUUCAGCCAUCUAUUGAAGGAUUCAAGCAUUGUCGGCCUGUACUCAGUAUUGAUGGUACACAUUUGUAUGGGAAGUAUAAAGGCACUUUAAUGAUUGCUAUGGGUUGUGAUGGAAAUAAUAAGUUAUUCCCAUUGGCUUUUGCCCUAACAGAGGGUGAGAAUGUUGAUAGUUGGGGAUGGUUUUUGGCAUGUAUUAGAACAAGAGUCACUAAUAGGAGGAAACUUUGUGUUAUAUCAGAUCGACAUCCAGGCAUUAUGGCUGCAAUGAGCAAUGUUCAUCUUGGUUGGUCUGAGCCAUACGCAUAUCAUAGGGUUUGUAUGCGUCAUCUUGCUAGCAAUUUUAUGACUCGAUUCAAGGAUAAAAUAUUGAAAAAUCUGAUGUGCAGAGCAGCCUUAGCAACCAAGAUUGAAAAAUUCAAUAAACAUAUGAACACAAUUGGGAGGAUUAAUGCAGCCGCACAACAAUGGUUGGAAGCAAUUCCUUUUGAGAAAUGGGCACUCUCUCAUGACGGAGGUCGAAGGUAUGGCAUCAUGACUACAAACAUGUCGGAGGUGUUCAAUAGUGUGCUUAAAGGGGCUCGUAGCUUACCCGUAACUGCUUUGGUUCAAUUGACAUUUUUUCGGCUAAAUAGUUACUUUGUUGUGAGAAGGGAACAAGGUGCUAAUCGACUUGCUUCAAGUGAGGAAUACACUCCAUAUGUUGAUGCUAAGAUGAAGGCAAAUGUGGUUAAGGCGGGAUCUCAUGAGAUUGUUUUAUAUGAUCACAUCCAAGGACAAUUCCAUGUGAAGAGUAAUAGGGGUACUAAGAGUAGUUCAACUGGUGGUCGAACAUAUCGCGUCAACUUACAGGAGUAUGCAUGCACGUGUGGUAAAACACUCAUAUAUGGAUUCCCAUGUAGUCAUAUUCUAGCAGCAUGUCAUUUUCGUUCAGUUGAUUUUAGACCACUUGUUCAACACUACUACAGUACACAAUCGUACUAUAAUACUUGGGCACCCUUGUUCCAUCCCAUUUUCAAUGUAUAUGAGUGGCCUCCUUAUGAUGGCCCGAUUAUCAUGCCUUCUGAGUCGAUGAAACGUGCAUCGAGUGGACGACCUAAAUCAAGUCGUUUGCAUAAUGAAAUGGAUGUCAGAGAGGGCAAGACUUCUAUUACGUGUGGGUUAUGCAAACAAAGUGGCCACAAUCGUCGUUCUUGUCAAAACAGUAAUAGAGUUGAUUAGACCUUGUGAUGUGUGCAUGUAAUUUUCUUGGAUAUUGUGAUGUAAGCUACUAUGAUACUACCUUUAUUCAAUUAUGGGCUUUGGUUUGAUUAUAAAUAUUGAUGUUAUUUGUCUAAUCAGGUUAUUUGUAUUUGGAAUAAUGUCCAUAUUAUAGGGGAAACUCUGUCAAAAUUUUUAAAUUUUCUAUUAAAAAUGUUAACAAAAUGCUUCAUUGUAUUUGUAUUUCUAAUUUUAUUUUAAACUAGUAUGACUUGUUUAUUGGUCAUAAAUGAAUUGAUCUACUUAAAUUUAUCAAAUUGAUAUAUACUUAAUAUAUGGAAAACUCCAUAAAUUUUUAAAACUUUUCCAUUAAAAAUAUUUUUAUUUAAAAACAAUAAGUAUUGUUUAUUUAUCUUCACAAUUUUGUUACAGAUAUGGAGUAUAGAGGACAUAGUUCUGAUCCAGAUCCAUUAGAUACGUCUAUUUUGGUUCUACAGGAUAGACAUAGGUCUCAUUUAGUUGACUCUGGUCAGGUAUGUAUAUGAAAACACAUAAUAUCUCUUUAAAGAAUGAAAAAAAUUGCAGUUUAUUAUCUAAAUGAUUUAUUUGUAUUUUUACAGCUUGCUUCAGUCUUGACUUGUCGACAACAUAUAUCUAGGUUUAUGCGGGAGUGGGAGAUGGAUCCUCGUCUUCAACCUUAUAUUAUUCGAUCUGGAUUUUAUGGUGUAUAUCGUAUUGGACACAUUACACUAGAUUGGGGAUUGAUCACUAGUCUAGUUGAGAGAUGGCGUCCUGAGACACACACAUUUCACUUACCUGUUGGGGAGAUGACCAUUACUUUACAGGAUGUUGCUGUCAUAUUAGGUCUUCGUAUUCAUGGGCUUCCCAUCACUGGCACAUGUGAUAUAGAUUGGUCAUUGCUAUGUUAUGAACUUUUAGGGGUGACUCCCCCUACAUCUGAGAUUAGAGGAUCAGCGAUAUCGACACGAUGGCUAUGUCACCAGUUCUCUCAUCCACCAGUUGAUUUAGAUGAUGCCACAUUAGAGCAGUAUGCACGGGCUUUCAUAUUAGGACUCAUAGGUUCAGCGCUAUUUACAGACAAGAAGGGUACUCACAUACAUAUGUGUUAUCUCCCACUUCUUAGAGACUUGACUCAGACAUCUAUGUAUAGUUGGGGUAGUGCAGUAUUAGCAUACCUAUAUAGGGAGUUGUGUCGAGCGAGUUUGGAUGGUGCCACCGAUAUUGCUGGAUGUGUGACAUUAUUACAGGUAUAAUUAAUUAUUCACAUUAGAUUGAAAUUUCUAGUUGUUUGAAGUUUAUAAUUUAAGUAAAAUUUUAAUGUUACAUUUUUUUUGCAGUUAUGGUCUUGGGAGAGACUCCACCUGGGUCGACCCGAUUUUGGUCGACCACCAGCCCCUCCAGCAGCCCAACAUUUAGAGCAUGAUGCAGUCGAUGAUUUACCAGCUGAGCAUUUAGAGCAGGGAUUACAGGAUGAGGCAUUGUUACAUGAGGGUUUACCGGCUGAUCCGUUAGGAUGUAGGUGGAGAGUACCUUUAUCAUGGGCUCAAAACCCAUCACGUGUGUUGACAUUUUAUCGAGACCAAUUAGAUGCACAGACCCAUGACCAGGUACAUAUAAGAUCUAAUGUGCUAUUGUUAACCAUAUAAACGUUAACUUUAUUAAUUUCAAAUGUUGAUUUUAACAGGUUUUAUGGGAGCCUUACAUGGGAGACUUAGUUGCCCAUCUUCCGGCGAUAUCUCUAGCAGACCAGGAGAUUUGGAGGACGAUGUCACCUCUUAUCUGCUUUGACAUUGUCGAGUGGCAUCGACCGGAGCGAGUGUUGCGACAGUUUGGCCUCCAACAAGGGAUACCUCCAUCUUGUUCCAUAGAGCAACACCUCCAUUCCGUGGAUAGGCGAGGACGACAUAAGUAUGAUUGGGAGGCAUUUCAUGCACAGUAUAUUACCUUAUGGGCUAGUCGUGCGGAGCGUAUUGUGACGGCACCACCUAUGGUGGGUGCUAUGCAGUUUCAUGAUCCAUAUAUGGAGUGGUACCGACGUAUUACAUGACGUUUGAUCACACCCCCUCUCCAUAGAGAUCAGAUGAGGUAUCAUAGUACAGCAGCAGCUACUCAGUUGUUGGUAAGAUUUUUUUAAAUUUAUAAAUGGUUUAUUAAAUUUUAAUUAAUUAAAAAUCAUCUUCGUCUGUUUAACUUUUUUUUUUUUUUAAUAGAUCACUGGUAUGGUUGAGAUUGCUAGUCGAUCUGCUGGGCCUACUUCAGGUGCGUUAGGCGACAUUCAUCGGAUUGCUAUUGAUAUUUUGCAUGUUAUUGGAGAGGACCAUCGCAUACAUUUUGCCCGUCAGUCGCCUACAUCAUCAUACCCAUCUAUGAGACCACCUAUGUCAGCCACUACAGUUAGGAUGCAGCCUAUUCGAGGCCGAGGGAGAGAUAGUAGGAGAGAUGGUGGGCGAGUUGGUCGACAGCCUCGACGAUCUAUGCAUCCACCCGAGACCAUGUUAGCACCAUCCACAUCAUCUACCCCAUUUGCACCUGAGGUUUCCACACUUCCCCCUUCACCCCUACCAUCACCUUCACCUAGACCUUCUCCCUUAGAGCAUGUCGUAUCAGAUACCACUCUACCAUCACCUGUAUUUCCUCCCACAGACGCCACUAUACCUGAUGUCACUACACCAGAGACUACCCCACUAUCUACUAAUCUACCAUCACCUCUACCUUGUCUCGAGGAGACCACUACACCACAUGUCACCUCACCAUCAUCACUUAUAUUUCCUCUCCUCGAGCCCACUAUAUCAGAUGUUAUUGCACCAGCUACCACUACAGUAGAUGUCAUUCUUCCAUCUCCUAUAUCACCUCUCCUAGAUGCUACCAUAUCAGAUAUCACUGUACCUGAGGUCGCCCCACCAUCUACCACUUUACCAUCACCUACACCUCUUCCCAUAGAGACUACCAUGCAUCAUACCCUUACACAUGUUACACAGUUUGAUGUAUGUCCACCUAGGAGACGUCGUGGUCCACGUAGACGUCGAGUCUUGCCUCCAUCAGCUCCAUCUCAACCUAUACAUACCGAGACAUGGCAGAUUGCACAGAUAAAUUCCACAGAGAUGUCUCUUUAUCAUAGGCGUCCGCAGAGAAAGAGGAAGACCCCAUCAUGUGGCACUCAUUGAGGACUGGUUUUUAGUUUUUGUGUUUAUUUUCAUUUGCAUUAUGUUGUUAACUUAUUUAUUUAUUUAUUAUUAUGAACAAAUUAUUAUAUAUUUAAAUGAAAAUAUGAUCAAUUUUAAACUUAAAUUGAACUUAUAUAUAUAUAGCAAUUCGACAAUUUAAAAAUGUGUAACUAAUUAGUUACAACAACACUAUAUCAAUAUAGAAAAAAUAAUGCAUUAAAACUAAUUUACAAUCUUAACCUCCAAUCAAAAUAAUUCUUAAAAAAUUGAACAUUCGCAUGAUUUAAAAUUUGAACUUAAAAAAAUUGGUUUUAUGUUUAAAUUUAAAGCUAUGAUCACCAACUACUAUUUUGACUAUUUAAAAAAAAAAAUUAAUUUGAUGAUGUAAAUACUAUCAAAAAUCAUAAUUACCAAUUACAGUUUUAUGAUGUAAAUACCCUCAUGAAUAAGACACACAUCACAUUGAAAAUUAUUUUGAGAAUAAAAUUAAUUUAUGAAUUUUUUGUUUUAAAGAAAUCAUUUUUGUCCAAAACUCCCGUUAAAACCCAAUAAGGAACAUUUUUCUUAUUCUCAAUGAAUUUACAAAAAUGUUCUAAAAGCAUUUUCAUUUAUUUACCAAAACAGUUAAACUAAAUGGUGAAUUGAUUGGAAAAACAUAGGUAUUUUCUUUCUACAAUUCUAUAUUUUAAGAAGUGGAAAAACAAAUUCUAUUAGGUUGACAUUUUAGGUUUAAAAUUUUAAGCCUUUCCAUUCCAUUCCAUUUUGAUCCCAUUUUGAAAGGAAAAAAUUGGAGAAAAUAAAAUUAUUUUUGUUGUAUUUAAGUAAUUUUCCAAUUAUUUACCCACUUGAAGUCAUAUUAUGUUUUGUACAAAUGCAUAAUUGGCUUUAAUUUUUGUACAAAGUUACAAAAUAAUAUAAUAUUCUUCAUUAUGAGGGCAUAAAAUAUUAUAUUUUUAACUAAUUAUAUUUAUAUUGAGUAUAAUGUCAAAUAUUUUAAUAAAACUAAACCAAAAUAUUUUUAUAUCAAAUUAAAGACAUCAAUUAUUUAAUUUCAUAUAUUAUUAUUCUUUAAAUAAUGAGAUCAAUUAAAGUUAAAUAUUUUUAUUAAACCACUCACAUAUUUUUAGUCAAUCUAAAAUCAAAAUAAUAUAAUAUUUUUAUUUAAAUAAAUUAAAGUUAAAUAAUUUUAUUAAAUCACUCACAUAUUUUUAGUCUAUCUAAAAUCAAAAUAAUAUAAUAUUUUUAUUUAAAUAUUUUUAUAUCAAAUUAAAGACAUCAAUUAUUUAAUUUCAUAUAUUAUUAUUCUUUAAAUAAUGAGAUCAAUUAAAGUUAAAUAUUUUUGUUAAACCACUCACAUAUUUUUAGUCAAUCUAAAAUCAAAAUAAUAUAAUAUUUUUAUUUAAAUAUUUUUAUAUCAAAUUAAAGACAUCAAUUAUUUAAUUUCAUAUAUUAUUAUUCUUUAAAUAAUGAGAUCAAUUAAAGUUAAAUAUUUUUAUUAAACCACUCACAUAUUUUUAGUCAAUCUAAAAUCAAAAUAAUAUAAUAUUUUUAUUUAAAUAAAUUAAAGUUAAAUAAUUUUAUUAAAUCACUCACAUAUUUUUAGUCUAUCUAAAAUCAAAAUAAUAUAAUAUUUUUAUUUAAAUAUUUUUAUAUCAAAUUAAAGACAUCAAUUAUUUAAUUUCAUAUAUUAUUAUUCUUUAAAUAAUGAGAUUAAAGUUAAAUAUUUUUAUUAAACCACUCACAUAUUUUUAGUCAAUCUAAAAUCAAAAUAAUACAAUAUUUUUAUUUAAAUAAAUUAAAGUUAAAUAUUUUUAUUAAAUCACUCACAUAUUUUUAGUCAAUCUAAAAUCAAAAUAAUAUAAUAUUUUUAUUUAAAUAAAUUAAAGUUAAAUAAUUUUAUUAAAUCACUCACAUAUUUUUAGUCUAUCUAAAAUCAAAAUAAUAUAAUAUUUUUAUUUAAAUAUUUUUAUAUCAAAUUAAAGACAUCAAUUAUUUAAUUUCAUAUAUUAUUAUUCUUUAAAUAAUGAGAUCAAUUAAAGUUAAAUAUUUUUGUUAAACCACUCACAUAUUUUUAGUCAAUCUAAAAUCAAAAUAAUAUAAUAUUUUUAUUUAAAUAUUUUUAUAUCAAAUUAAAGGCAUCAAUUAUUUAAUUUCAUAUAUUAUUAUUCUUUAAAUAAUGAGAUCAAUUAAAGUUAAAUAUUUUUGUUAAACCACUCACAUAUUUUUAGUCAAUCUAAAAUCAAAAUAAUAUAAUAUUUUUAUUUAAAUAAAUUAAAGUUAAAUAUUUUUAUUAAAUCACUCACAUAUUUUUAGUCUAUCUAAAAUCAAAAUAAUAUAAUAUUUUUAUUUAAAUAUUUUUAUAUCAAAUUAAAGACAUCAAUUAUUUAAUUUCAUAUAUUAUUAUUCUUUAAAUAAUGAGAUCAAUUAAAGUUAAAUAUUUUUGUUAAACCACUCACAUAUUUUUAGUCAAUCUAAAAUCAAAAUAAUAUAAUAUUUUUAUUUAAAUAUUUUUAUAUCAAAUUAAAGACAUCAAUUAUUUAAUUUCAUAUAUUAUUAUUCUUUAAAUGAUGAGAUCAAUUAAAGUUAAAUAUUUUUGUUAAACCACUCACAUAUUUUUAGUCAAUCUAAAAUCAAAAUAAUAUAAUAUUUUUAUUUAAAUAAAUUAAAGUUAAAUAUUUUUAUUAAAUCACUUACAUAUUUUUAGUCUAUCUAAAAUCAAAAUAAUAUAAUAUUUUUAUUUAAAUAUUUUUAUAUCAAAUUAAAGACAUCAAUUAUUUAAUUUCAUAUAUUAUUAUUCUUUAAAUAAUGAGAUCAAUUAAAGUUAAAUAUUUUUAUUAAACCACUCACAUAUUUUUAGUCAAUCUAAAAUCAAAAUAAUAUAAUAUUUUUAUUUAAAUAAAUUAAAGUUUAAUAUUUUUAUUAAAUCACGCACAUAUUUUUCGUCUAUCUAAAAUAAAAAUAAUAUAAUAUUUUUAUUUAAAUAAAUUAAAGUUAAAUAUUUUAAAUCAAGUAAUAUAAUUAUUUAUAUAUAUAAAUUUAAAGUUGAAGCCGUAGUUGGUGACUACGGCUUUGACUUUUUUUAUAACAGUCAAAGCCGUAGUCACCAACCACGGUUUUAACUUUAAAAAAGUUAAAACCGUGGUUGGUGACUACGGUUUUGAAUGUUUUAAAAAAUUAAAACCGUAGUUACCAACUACGGUUUUAUGAUGUGGCAUCCUAUGUGGCACAAACGCACUAGAUUGGGCAUUAUUUUCACAUUAGGUUUACUUUAUGGAUUUUUUUUUUAAAGUGUAGCAUUUUGGGUCAAAGCUCGAGAAGUUGGAUACGGUGGUGGCGUUUUGAAACCUUCGCAAUUUGAAAUAAGUUCUUAUUUCUUAAAAUAUAAUAUUUUUCAAAAAGAAUUAUAAUAUAAAUUUAUAAAUUAUUCUCUUAUUGUGGCUAUACUACUUUACCAUAAUAAUAAUAAUAAAAGAAUCAGACAUUAAAAUAAGUUCUUUUUGGCAUAACUAAUUUCUAAUGUGUUAAUUAUGAUAAAGAAAUUAUUUUUUCAUCUUAUGUAAAAAAAUAUUUGAUAAUAUAUUAAAAAUAAAUGUAAUUGGGAAAAAGUUUAGAAGUUGUGUCAUUCAUCCAUGCUGAGGAGUAAGUGGCAGUGUGUAGAAGUAGAUAGGUUGUUUGAACUUUGAAACUUGUUUUGACGUUAGCUUGUUGUUCUACAGAAGACCACUAUUUUUUAUUUUAUUUUAUUUUUUAUGUUUUAAUUUUGUAAUUUCUCGUUUGUCGCAUCAUUCCCACGUCAUGUCCAAGUGGUUUGAAAAAGCAAAGAAGCGGUUUUGACCGUUGUACAGUCAAUAAUCUAGAACAUACGCAUUCCGUGACGUCUCCAGCACUCGCUUCGCUUCAUUCUCCAGAACUUCCUAGUAAAGUCUCGAUUCUUCACUCUCAAAAUCUCUAUACCCGACAGCUCCAUCUACUCCUUUUACGCGUCCCCACAACAGCUAUAUAUAUGCACACACAAAGUGUUCAUCCUCACAUCUUCAAAUCUUACUACAAAUUAAGUGUUAUUUACAUUAAUUUUCAUUAACAUCCUUGUGUUGCCACAUCCAUGAUUAACUGCGAUGUGUAUGAACGCAUUUUCAAGCGCUUCGAUGAAGAUGGUGAUGGGAAACUCUCUCCUUCGGAGCUCCGACGCUGCUUGGGGAAGAUAGGGGAGGAGCUGCUGAUGGAGGAGGCGCAGGAGGUGGUGGAGUCGAUGGACUCGGACGGAGAUGGGUUGCUGGGAUUGGAAGAAUUUGUGGGGUGGAUGGAGAGAGAGGGUGAAGAGAGAAAGAUGGAGGAUUUGAGAGAGGCCUUUAGGAUGUAUGAGAUGGAAGGGAGUGG